AGUGAAUAGAUACCCUGGUAGUCCAUGCCGUAAACUAUGGAUACUAGCUGUUGGGGGUAUCGACCCCUCCAGUAGCGAAAGCUAACGCGUUAAGUAUCCCGCCUGUGGAGUACGAUCGCAAGAUUAAAACAUAAAGGAAUUGACGGGGACCCGCACAAGCGGUGGAGCGUGUUCUUUAAUUCGAUGCUAAACGAAGAACCUUACCAGGGCUUGACAUCCCUUGAAUUACUCCGAAAGGAGUGAGUGCUUUAUGAGCAAGGUGACAGGUGAUGCAUGGCCGUCGUCAGCUCGUGUCGUGAGAUGUUUGGUUAAGUCCAUCAACGAGCGCAACCCUUUAUACUUAGUUGUAUUUUUUCUAGGUAGACUGCCCCGGUAAC
This 377-nucleotide ribosomal RNA is filed under the name uncultured bacterium. RNAcentral describes it as "bacterial SSU rRNA". It matches the Rfam family "Bacterial small subunit ribosomal RNA", at positions 774 to 1162 of the family's 1533-position model. The record is from RNAcentral.